Molecule: ribosomal RNA, 576 nt
Filed under: Triticum aestivum (bread wheat)
Lineage: Eukaryota; Viridiplantae; Streptophyta; Magnoliopsida; Poales; Poaceae
Description: partial small subunit ribosomal RNA
Source: RNAcentral
AUGUGCUCCAUUGACCUCGGCCGCCUUAACUACGGGAUCAUUUCGCUCAUCCCUAAGGUAUCUGGGGCCUCAGACAUCCGUCAGUUCUGGCCUAUCACCGUUAUCAACGUGAUCUUCUGGAUUCUGGCGAAAGGGUACGCCAAUAGGGUGUCCGUGCUCGCUGACCGCAUUACCCACCCACAGACCGCCUUCAUUCAGGUACGGUAUAUUCUGGAUGGGGUGUUAGUCUUCCAUGAAGUCCUCCAUGAGGUCCGGUCUAAACACCUCAAGGCAGUCUUCCUAAAGAUUGACUUCCAUAAGGCCUACGAUACUGUUAGCUGGCCCUUCCUUCGGGAAGUUUUGCUCCGGAAGGGCUUCGACGACCGCUGGGUCACGCGUGUGACACAGAUGGUGUCCUGCGGUCGCACUGCCGUGAACAUCAAUGGGGAGAUUGGCCCUUACUUCCCCACGCUAUGUGGGGUUAGACAAGGUGACCCCUUCUCCCCAUUCCUGUUCAACAUGGUGGUCGAUGCGUUGGCUGCCAUCCUUGACAAGGCAAAGCUUGCGGGACAUAUUCGUGGGAUCACCCCCACCUGA